This 253-nucleotide ribosomal RNA is filed under the name uncultured bacterium. RNAcentral's name for it is "partial 16S ribosomal RNA". It matches the Rfam family "Bacterial small subunit ribosomal RNA", at positions 524 to 776 of the family's 1533-position model. The record is from RNAcentral.
UGCGAAGGUGGCAAGCGUUACUCGGAAUUACUAGGCGUAAAGGGCAGGUAGGCGGUCUCGUUAGUCUGUUGUGAAAGCUCCUUGCUUAACGGGGAGAGGCCAACAGAUACUGCGAGGCUUGAGUAUAGGAGAGGGUACUGGAAUUCCCGGUGUAGCGGUGAAAUGCGCAGAGAUCGGGAGGAACACCAAUGGCGAAAGCAGGUACCUGGACUAUUACUGACGCUAAGCUGCGAAAGCUAGGGGAGCAAACAGG